Callithrix jacchus (white-tufted-ear marmoset) is the source of this 2527-nucleotide long non-coding RNA. RefSeq lists it as uncharacterized. The record is from RefSeq and is a predicted model, not a curated record. NCBI's taxonomy places the organism in Eukaryota, Metazoa, Chordata, Mammalia, Primates, Cebidae.
CAACGCCGGCAGGAACGCAGGGCGCUGGGCCAGGGCCCGCCUCCAGAGGGCGGUGUGCGUCCUUGGCGCUGGAGCACCUGCGUUUCGGGGACCCGGGCAGGUGUAGGGGUCUGCGUUCGGCUCCAGGCCUCCUGCAGGUGCAAUAAGAAUAUUACUAAUGUGUCCUCUGGAAUGGUGACGUGAACACAGUUCCCUGCAGAUGUAACUGGGAGAGAAGGCAGAGUCCUGACACAGGGUAAGACUGUGGAGAUGUAUUGCUGGCCCCAUCAGUUGGGAUCUCACUUUGCUGCCUAGCCUGGAGUGCAGUGGUGUAAACUCAGCUCACUGCAGCCUCAAACUCCUGGACUCAAGUGAUCCAUCCUCUCACUUCAGCCUCCUGAAUAGCUGGGACUACAGCUGUCUCUUAACUUCCUCAAAAGACAUCAGUCCUGGCUGCCCUCCAGAAGAGCCAUCCCAAGACAUUAUCUAGGCAUCAGUGUCUUCACCAGGGCAACACGGAACAUCUCCACUGAAUACCUGGUGGCUGCAGCGGCUGAUGUGAGAUGUGUGCCUGCUUUCCAUCAGAUUCCCAAAGCAGAGCCCCUGGAGGCUUUGGCCCAUGCCCCUGAGGCUCCCUUUCAUGAGGAAGAAAUUCUUUGGAAAGCCAACACCACUACUGGAGAGAAAGUAGGGGUUGUGUUAUAGAAGUACUGUCUUUAUUUUGGGAGGCUGAGGUGGUGGAUCAUGAGGUCAAGAGAUCGGAACCAUCCUGGCCAACAUGGUAAAACCCCAUGUCUACUAAAAAUACAAAAAUUAGCCAGGCAUGAUGAUGCGCACCUGUAGUCCCAGCUACUUGGGAGGCUGGGGCAGGAGAAUCCCGUGUACCUAGGAGGCAGAGGUUGCAUUAAGCUGAGAUCAUACCAUUGCACUCCAGCCUAGUGACAGAGCAAGAUUCCAUCUCAGAAAAAAAAGUAGCUCACAGCUGUAUAGAGUGAGCUUAAGUGCUGGGUCCCUGUGAUUAGGAAGAGAAAGGAAAUUUAGCCUCCAGGAUGUGAGAGCUCCAUGGAAGGCAGUAGCCCGGAAUAAAACAGGUAUCAGCACAGAAAACCCACCAGCACCCGGAAAAGGAAGAAAUAUGCCACAACCGUCACUCUCCCUGCGAAUGACUUCUUUACACACCUCCAUCCCAUCUCCUGGCUCAAUCUCCUAUUCUCUCAUAGCUGGGGAGGUCUCCAUUGUAAUUCGUAUUGGGUGGUUAACCUGCAGGCUAUUCUGAGGAUCCCAGCUCCCUUUCACUGCAACCUGCAUCUGCAUCCUUUGCUUUGCAGUAGGAGUUGAGAGAGGUAGGAUGAAGGUGUAGCCACAGGCUACAUUUAAACAAGCACAGAGUUCACAGGGGAAAAAAAACCCAAACCAAAACAAUAAAACCUUCAUCAAUCGUUAAAGAAAUGAAAAUGAACCGUUUGAGGUUAUCUAUUUUUAUCUACUAAGUCAAGAAAAGCUAAUUUAAUUCCUGGCAAGUUCACAAUAAAAAAAUAUAUAUACUUGCUCUUGGUGGCAUUGUAAGUAGUUAAAAGCUUUUUGGGCAGUACUUUGGAAUACAUCAAGUUUGAAAAUGAUUAUACCAGUGGACCCAAUCAUCUUGCUCAUGGAAAUUCAUCCAAAGGAAAUAAUUAAGUGGAAAAAACAACGUGUCUACACUUGUUUCACCCAAAUGCCCAGCAAUAAAGGAAUGACGAAAGAAAUCCCAGCACAUACUCUGAACCUAACAGAAAUGGAGCAUUUGGAACUAGAAUUGCGCAGACUGAACUGAAAAUGGAAGUGGCUUUAAAUGAUGUUAAGUGGAAACAUUGUAUGUCCAGUCGAAACUUGGUAAGAUACAGAUUCCAGUGGUCAGAAUCGGAAAAUUUCAACAAAUGAAAAUCACAGGGUUAACAGAGAGGUGCUGUUGGUUGUAGAAAAGCAUUUUCAAAAAUUAAUGAUUCAAAAUUAUUUUUCAAAAAAAGUAGAUUUAAAAUCAUGUAUUUCAGGAAGUAUGGCCCAUGGUGUCUCUUGGAAAAAGUAGAAGACCUGGCAUAUCGCCCAAAGGGAACUCUCUAGCUUAAGAUUACCCUGAUGACGAGUGGGAAACAGUCAGGCACUUUCCGGCACGCUUAGUAACAGGGGUGCCCUUCUGUGCAGAAGGAAGGUGCUCUGUGGUCCACCCUUUAUUUGGAUCCUGAGAUCAGAAUUCUAAUUGGGCAGAAGUAACCAGGGGAGGAAACAGCAUUUCUUCAAAGCUGAAGAGAGCUUUUUGGAGGGGAAAAUAAAAAAUCCUGGGAACUCUUUGCAUGACUGGUGGGUUGAACAAUGGCUUUGCACCCCAAGACCAGCCUGGCCUCGUGGUUGUAAAUCUGGGGGCUGCUGACAAACGGUUUCCCACCUUGGGACUUGAGUCUGCAGUUCAAGAGUCAUGUGGGCCUGCCUGAGCCGCAGGGCUUGGCCCCUGUGCUGAGCACAGGCUUCUAGAAGAAGCCUUACGGGAAAGGAAACGCUCAGGUUUCACUUG